This 253-nucleotide ribosomal RNA is filed under the name uncultured bacterium. RNAcentral's name for it is "partial 16S ribosomal RNA". It matches the Rfam family "Bacterial small subunit ribosomal RNA", at positions 524 to 776 of the family's 1533-position model. The record is from RNAcentral.
UACGGGGGGGGCAAGCGUUGUUCGGAAUUACUGGGCGUAAAGGGCCCGUAGGUGGCCAACUAAGUCAGACGUGAAACCCCUCAGCUUAACUGGGGAACUGCGUCUGAUACUGGAUGGCUUGAGUUUGGGAGAGGGAUGCGGAAUUCCAGGUGUAGCGGUGAAAUGCGUAGAUAUCUGGAGGAACACCGGUGGCGAAGGCGGCAUCCUGGACCAACACUGACACUGAGGAGCGAAAGCCAGGGGAGCAAACGGG